This 556-nucleotide ribosomal RNA is filed under the name Beijerinckiaceae bacterium. RNAcentral describes it as "bacterial SSU rRNA". It matches the Rfam family "Bacterial small subunit ribosomal RNA", at positions 853 to 1410 of the family's 1533-position model. Lineage: Bacteria; Pseudomonadati; Pseudomonadota; Alphaproteobacteria; Hyphomicrobiales; Beijerinckiaceae. The record is from RNAcentral.
UAACGCUUUAAGCAUCCCGCCUGGGGAGUACGGUCGCAAGAUUAAACUCAAAGGAAUGACGGGGGCCCGCACAAGCGGUGGAGCAUGUGGUUUAAUUGGAAGCAACGCGCAGAACCUUACCAGCCUUUGACAUGCCUCGGACGGUUACCAGAGAUGGUUUCUUCUCUUCGGAGCCGAGGACACAGGUGCUGCAUGGCUGUCGUCAGCUCGUGUCGUGAGAUGUUGGGUUAAGUCCCGCAACGAGCGCAACCCACGCCCUUAGUUGCCAUCAUUAAGUUGGGCACUCUAGGGGGACUGCCGGUGAUAAGCCGAGAGGAAGGUGUGGAUGACGUCAAGUCCUCAUGGCCCUUACGGGCUGGGCUACACACGUGCUACAAUGGCGGUGACAAUGGGACGCGAAAGGGUGACCUUUAGCAAAUCUCAAAAAGCCGUCUCAGUUCGGAUUGUACUCUGCAACUCGAGUACAUGAAGGUGGAAUCGCUAGUAAUCGUAGAUCAGAACGCUACGGUGAAUACGUUCCCGGGCCUUGUACACACCGCCCGUCACACCAUGGGAG